CCUACGGGAGGCAGCAGUAGGGAAUAUUGCUCAAUGGGGGAAACCCUGAAGCAGCAACGCCGCGUGGAGGAUGAAGGUUUUCGGAUUGUAAACUCCUUUUGUUAGAGAAGAUAAUGACGGUAUCUAACGAAUAAGCACCGGCUAACUCCGUGCCAGCAGCCGCGGUAAUACGGAGGGUGCAAGCGUUACUCGGAAUCACUGGGCGUAAAGAGCGCGUAGGCGGGAUAGCAAGUCAGAUGUGAAAGCCUAUGGCUUAACCAUAGAACUGCAUUUGAAACUGUUAUUCUAGAGUAUGGGAGAGGUAAGUGGAAUUCUUGGUGUAGCGGUAAAAUCCGUAGAGAUCAGGAGGAAUACUCAUUGCGAAGGCGACCUGCUGGAACAUAACUGACGCUGAUGCGCGAAAGCGUGGGGAGCAAACAGGAUUAGAUACCCCAGUAGUC
RNAcentral lists this ribosomal RNA (440 nucleotides) under uncultured bacterium. Its description in RNAcentral is "partial 16S ribosomal RNA". It matches the Rfam family "Bacterial small subunit ribosomal RNA", at positions 338 to 795 of the family's 1533-position model. The record is from RNAcentral.